AUUUCUAUUUAUAUAGUUUAGGAAAAACAUUACAUUUUCAUUGUAAAAUCAAAUUUUAAUUUUAUAA
This 67-nucleotide transfer RNA is filed under the name Lygistopterus sanguineus. RNAcentral's name for it is "tRNA-Glu". Lineage: Eukaryota; Metazoa; Arthropoda; Insecta; Coleoptera; Lycidae. The record is from RNAcentral.